RNAcentral lists this ribosomal RNA (253 nucleotides) under uncultured bacterium. RNAcentral describes it as "partial 16S ribosomal RNA". It matches the Rfam family "Bacterial small subunit ribosomal RNA", at positions 524 to 776 of the family's 1533-position model. The record is from RNAcentral.
UACGUAGGGGGCAAGCGUUGUCCGGAAUCAUUGGGCGUAAAGCGCGUGUAGGCGGCUCGGUAAGUCCGCUCUGAAAGUCCAGGGCUCAACCCUGGGAUGCGGGUGGAUACUGCCGGGCUCGAGUCCGGAAGAGGCGAGUGGAAUUCCCGGUGUAGCGGUGAAAUGCGCAGAUAUCGGGAGGAACACCAAUGGCGAAGGCAGCUCGCUGGGACGUUACUGACGCUGAGACGCGAAAGCGUGGGGAGCAAACAGG